Molecule: ribosomal RNA, 468 nt
Filed under: uncultured bacterium
Lineage: Bacteria
Description: partial 16S ribosomal RNA
Rfam family: Bacterial small subunit ribosomal RNA
Source: RNAcentral
GACGAACGCUGGCGGCGUGCUUAACACAUGCAAGUCGAACGGAAAGGCCCUGCUCUUGUGGCGCGCUCGAGUGGCGCACGGGUGUGUAUCACGCGAGUAACCUCCCCCUGACUUUGUGAUAACUCUACGAAACUCGGGCUCAUACCCGAUAUGAGCUCCUGCUGCACGGUGUUCGUUGGUAAGUUUCGGCGGUUGUGGAUCGACUCGCGGGUUACCAGCUUCUUGGUGGGGUAGUGGCUUACCAAGGCGUUGACGGGUAGCCGGCCUGAGAGGGUGACCCGCCGCAUUGGGACUGAGAGGCGGCCGAAACUCCUACGGGAGGCAGCAGUGGGGAAUAUUGAACAAUGGGCGGAAGCCUAAUGCAGAAACGCCGCGUGCGGGAAGACGGCCUUCGGAUUGUAAACCGCUUGCGCCUGUGACGAAGCGUGAGUGACGGUAAUGGGUAAAGAAGGACCGGCUAACUACGUG